Molecule: ribosomal RNA, 637 nt
Filed under: Neophysopella vitis
Lineage: Eukaryota; Fungi; Basidiomycota; Pucciniomycetes; Pucciniales; Crossopsoraceae
Description: partial large subunit ribosomal RNA
Rfam family: Eukaryotic large subunit ribosomal RNA
Source: RNAcentral
AGGUGGGAUUACCCGCUGAACUUAAGCAUAUCAAUAAGCGGAGGAAAAGAAACUAACAAGGAUUCCCCUAGUAACGGCGAGUGAAGAGGGAAAAGCCCAAAUUUGUAAUCUGGCUCUUUUAGAGUCCGAGUUGUAAUUUUGAGAACUGUUUUCAGUGCUGGACCAUGUUUAAGUCUGUUGAAAAACAGCAUCAUUGAGGGUGAUAAUCCCGUUCAUGAUAUGGACUACCAGUACUUUAUGAUACAGUCUCUAAGAGUCGAGUUGUUUGGGAAUGCAGCUCAAAGUGGGUGGUAAAUUCCAUCUAAGGCUAAAUAUAGGUGAGAGACCGAUAGCAAACAAGUACCGUGAGGGAAAGAUGAAAAGAACUUUGGAAAGAGAGUUAACAGUACGUGAAAUUGCUGAAAGGGAAACAAUUGAAGUUAGCCUUGUUAUUGUCAGUUCAGCUCUUUUAGAGUGUAUUCUGAUGAUUAACGACCAACAUCAGUCUUUGAGUGCUGGAUAAGGGUUUUGGAAAUGUAGCAGUCUCGGCUGUGUUAUAGUCCAUUACUUUGAUACAGUGCUUGGGAUUGAGGAUCGCAGUAAGCCAUUUUAUGGUGGACCAAAUUUUUGGUCUUCUUACUGAGGAUGUUGGUGAAUA